This 253-nucleotide ribosomal RNA is filed under the name uncultured bacterium. RNAcentral's name for it is "partial 16S ribosomal RNA". It matches the Rfam family "Bacterial small subunit ribosomal RNA", at positions 524 to 776 of the family's 1533-position model. The record is from RNAcentral.
UACGAGGGGUGCUAGCGUUAUUCGGAAUUAUUGGGCGUAAAGGGUGCGUAGGUGGCACGCUAAGUCAACUGUUAAAUUCCUCGGCCUAACCGAGGAUCUGCGGUAGAUACUGGCGAGCUAGAGGGUGGAAGAGAGAAGUGGAAUUCUCGGAGUAGCGGUAAAAUGCGUAGAUCUCGAGAGGAACACCAAUGGCGAAGGCAGCUUCUUGGUCCACACCUGACACUGAGGCACGAAAGCGUGGGGAGCAAACAGG